AGAGUUUGAUCAUGGCUCAGAUUGAACGCUGGCGGCAGGCCUAACACAUGCAAGUCGAACGGUAACAGGAAGCAGCUUGCUGCUUCGCUGACGAGUGGCGGACGGGUGAGUAAUGUCUGGGAAGCUGCCUGAUGGAGGGGGAUAACUACUGGAAACGGUAGCUAAUACCGCAUAAUGUCGCAAGACCAAAGAGGGGGACCUUCGGGCCUCUUGCCAUCGGAUGUGCCCAGAUGGGAUUAGCUUGUUGGUGGGGUAACGGCUCACCAAGGCGACGAUCCCUAGCUGGUCUGAGAGGAUGACCAGCCACACUGGAACUGAGACACGGUCCAGACUCCUACGGGAGGCAGCAGUGGGGAAUAUUGCACAAUGGGCGCAAGCCUGAUGCAGCCAUGCCGCGUGUAUGAAGAAGGCCUUCGGGUUGUAAAGUACUUUCAGCGGGGAGGAAGGGAGUAAAGUUAAUACCUUUGCUCAUUGACGUUACCCGCAGAAGAAGCACCGGCUAACUCCGUGCCAGCAGCCGCGGUAAUACGGAGGGUGCAAGCGUUAAUCGGAAUUACUGGGCGUAAAGCGCACGCAGGCGGUUUGUUAAGUCAGAUGUGAAAUCCCCGGGCUCAACCUGGGAACUGCAUCUGAUACUGGCAAGCUUGAGUCUCGUAGAGGGGGGUAGAAUUCCAGGUGUAGCGGUGAAAUGCGUAGAGAUCUGGAGGAAUACCGGUGGCGAAGGCGGCCCCCUGGACGAAGACUGACGCUCAGGUGCGAAAGCGUGGGGAGCAAACAGGAUUAGAUACCCUGGUAGUCCACGCCGUAAACGAUGUCGACUUGGAGGUUGUGCCCUUGAGGCGUGGCUUCCGGAGCUAACGCGUUAAGUCGACCGCCUGGGGAGUACGGCCGCAAGGUUAAAACUCAAAUGAAUUGACGGGGGCCCGCACAAGCGGUGGAGCAUGUGGUUUAAUUCGAUGCAACGCGAAGAACCUUACCUGGUCUUGACAUCCACGGAAGUUUUCAGAGAUGAGAAUGUGCCUUCGGGAACCGUGAGACAGGUGCUGCAUGGCUGUCGUCAGCUCGUGUUGUGAAAUGUUGGGUUAAGUCCCGCAACGAGCGCAACCCUUAUCCUUUGUUGCCAGCGGUCCGGCCGGGAACUCAAAGGAGACUGCCAGUGAUAAACUGGAGGAAGGUGGGGAUGACGUCAAGUCAUCAUGGCCCUUACGACCAGGGCUACACACGUGCCACAAUGGCGCAUACAAAGAGAAGCGACCUCGCGAGAGCAAGCGGACCUCAUAAAGUGCGUCGUAGUCCGGAUUGGAGUCUGCAACUCGACUCCAUGAAGUCGGAAUCGCUAGUAAUCGUGGAUCAGAAUGCCACGGUGAAUACGUUCCCGGGCCUUGUACACACCGCCCGUCACACCAUGGGAGUGGGUUGCAAAAGAAGUAGGUAGCUUAACCUUCGGGAGGGCGCUUACCACUUUGUGAUUCAUGACUGGGGUGAAGUCGUAACAAGGUA
Molecule: ribosomal RNA, 1500 nt
Filed under: metagenome
Description: bacterial SSU rRNA
Rfam family: Bacterial small subunit ribosomal RNA
Source: RNAcentral